RNAcentral lists this ribosomal RNA (492 nucleotides) under uncultured bacterium. Its description in RNAcentral is "partial 16S ribosomal RNA". It matches the Rfam family "Bacterial small subunit ribosomal RNA", at positions 29 to 507 of the family's 1533-position model. The record is from RNAcentral.
AGUGAACGCUGGCGGUAGGCCUAACACAUGCAAGUCGAACGGCAGCACAGUAAGAGCUUGCUCUUACGGGUGGCGAGUGGCGGACGGGUGAGGAAUACAUCGGAAUCUACUUUUUCGUGGGGGAUAACGUAGGGAAACUUACGCUAAUACCGCAUACGACCUACGGGUGAAAGCAGGGGAUCUUCGGACCUUGCGCGAUUGAAUGAGCCGAUGUCGGAUUAGCUAGUUGGCGGGGUAAAGGCACACCAAGGCGACGAUCCGUAGCUGGUCUGAGAGGAUGAUCAGCCACACUGGAACUGAGACACGGUCCAGACUCCUACGGGAGGCAGCAGUGGGGAAUAUUGGACAAUGGGCGCAAGCCUGAUCCAGCCAUACCGCGUGGGUGAAGAAGGCCUUCGGGUCGUAAAGCCCUUUUGUUGGGAAGGAAAAGCAGCAGGUUAAUACCCCGCUGUUCUGACGGUACCCAAAGAAUAAGCACCGGCUAACUUCGUG